Molecule: long non-coding RNA, 169 nt
Organism: Limulus polyphemus (Atlantic horseshoe crab)
Lineage: Eukaryota; Metazoa; Arthropoda; Merostomata; Xiphosura; Limulidae
Exons: 2
Source: RefSeq, a predicted model, not a curated record
UUCACUUAAAGUAAACUUUGGUUAUAUUAUUCAGGUCCAAUUCCAAGUUCAACUGACUGGUUGGAUGUAGUUCGUCCAGUUAUUGAGAAACGAAUUCAAAAAUAUAAUGAGGGAGAGAUCCAUUUCAACCUUAUGGCUAUUAUCUCAGACAGAAAAAUGAUCUAUCAAA